CCUACGGGUGGCAGCAGUGAGGAAUAUUGGUCAAUGGGCGAGAGCCUGAACCAGCCAAGUCGCGUGAGGGAAGACGGUCCUAUGGAUUGUAAACCUCUUUUGCCGGGGAGCAAAAAGCGGUACGUGUACCGCAUCGAGAGUACCCGGAGAAAAAGCAUCGGCUAACUCCGUGCCAGCAGCCGCGGUAAUACGGAGGAUGCGAGCGUUAUCCGGAUUUAUUGGGUUUAAAGGGUGCGUAGGCGGUCUGUUAAGUCAGCGGUAAAAUUGCGGGGCUCAACCCCGUCGAGCCGUUGAAACUGGCAGACUUGAGUUGGCGAGAAGUACGCGGAAUGCGCGGUGUAGCGGUGAAAUGCAUAGAUAUCGCGCAGAACUCCGAUUGCGAAGGCAGCGUACCGGCGCCAGACUGACGCUGAGGCACGAAAGCGUGGGGAUCGAACAGGAUUAGAUACCCGGGUAGUC
RNAcentral lists this ribosomal RNA (459 nucleotides) under uncultured bacterium. Its description in RNAcentral is "partial 16S ribosomal RNA". It matches the Rfam family "Bacterial small subunit ribosomal RNA", at positions 338 to 795 of the family's 1533-position model. The record is from RNAcentral.